RNAcentral lists this non-coding RNA (24 nucleotides) under Arabidopsis thaliana (thale cress). The record is from RNAcentral. Lineage: Eukaryota; Viridiplantae; Streptophyta; Magnoliopsida; Brassicales; Brassicaceae.
UAUACCACUUAACAUCCUACUCAA